UGUGUGAAGAAGGCCUUCGGGUUGUAAAGCACUUUUGUCCGGGAAGAAAUCGCACCUGAUAAUACCGGGUGUGGAUGACGGUACCGGAAGAAUAAGGACCGGCUAACUACGUGCCAGCAGCCGCGGUAAUACGUGGGGUCCAAGCGUUAAUCGGAAUUACUGGGCGUAAAGCGUGCGCAGGCGGUUGUGCAAGACCGAUGUGAAAUCCCCGGGCUUAACCUGGGAAUUGCAUUGGUGACUGCACGGCUAGAGUGUGUCAGAGGGGGGUAGAAUUCCACGUGUAGCAGUGAAAUGCGUAGAGAUCGGAAAGAACACCAACGGCGAAAGCACUCUGCUGGGCCGACACUGACACUGAGAGACGAAAGCUAGGGGAGCGAAUGGGAUUAGAUACCCCAGUAGUCCUAGCCGUAAACGA
Molecule: ribosomal RNA, 415 nt
Filed under: uncultured bacterium
Lineage: Bacteria
Description: bacterial SSU rRNA
Rfam family: Bacterial small subunit ribosomal RNA
Source: RNAcentral